Small nucleolar RNA from Jaculus jaculus (lesser Egyptian jerboa), 132 nucleotides. The record is from Ensembl. Lineage: Eukaryota; Metazoa; Chordata; Mammalia; Rodentia; Dipodidae.
GCCCUCCUGUUCCCUUUCCCAUCGGAUCCUUGACACUGGUCUUGGUGGUCGUAAAGGAGGAAGAGUGACACUGAAGCUGACCUCACAGCCAUGUAGUCUGGCAGAUAGCAUGUGGGCUAGGUUCAAACAGGG